AAACUACUCCCUCUGUCUAACAAAGGAUGUCUCAACUUUGAUCAAAUUUGAAUGUAUCUAUAUAUUAAAUCAUGUCUAGAUACAUUCAAAUUUUGACAAACUUGAGACAUCUUUUAUUGGAUGGAUGGAGCAUUUG
Non-coding RNA from Brachypodium distachyon (stiff brome), 136 nucleotides. The record is from Rfam. Lineage: Eukaryota; Viridiplantae; Streptophyta; Magnoliopsida; Poales; Poaceae.